This 253-nucleotide ribosomal RNA is filed under the name uncultured bacterium. RNAcentral describes it as "partial 16S ribosomal RNA". It matches the Rfam family "Bacterial small subunit ribosomal RNA", at positions 524 to 776 of the family's 1533-position model. The record is from RNAcentral.
UACGAAGGGAGCUAGCGUUGUUCGGAAUUACUGGGCGUAAAGCGCACGUAGGCGGCUUUGUAAGUUAGAGGUGAAAGCCCAGUGCUCAACACUGGAACUGCCUUUAAGACUGCAUCGCUUGAAUCCAGGAGAGGUGAGUGGAAUUCCGAGUGUAGAGGUGAAAUUCGUAGAUAUUCGGAAGAACACCAGUGGCGAAGGCGGCUCACUGGACUGGUAUUGACGCUGAGGUGCGAAAGCGUGGGGAGCAAACAGG